GAUGAACGCUAGCGGCAGGCCUAACACAUGCAAGUCGAGGGAGAAGCCCUUUCGGGGGCAGAAACCGGCGCACGGGUGCGUAACGCGUAUGCAACCUACCUUUCACAGGGGGAUAGCCCGAAGAAAUUUGGAUUAAUACCCCAUAAUAUUAUUGGAUGGCAUCAUUUGAUAAUUAAAACUGCGGUGGUGAAAGAUGGGCAUGCGUCCUAUUAGCUAGUUGGAGUGGUAACGGCACCCCAAGGCUACGAUAGGUAGGGGUUCUGAGAGGGAGAUCCCCCACACUGGUACUGAGACAGGGACCAGACUCCUACGGGAGGCAGCAGUGAGGAAUAUUGGUCAAUGGUCGGAAGACUGAACCAGCCAUGCCGCGUGCAGGAAGAAUGCCUUAUGGGUUGUAAACUGCUUUUAUAUGGGAAGAAUAAGACAUACGUGUACGUUGAUGACGGUACCAUAUGAAUAAGCAUCGGCUAACUCCGUG
RNAcentral lists this ribosomal RNA (478 nucleotides) under uncultured bacterium. Its description in RNAcentral is "partial 16S ribosomal RNA". It matches the Rfam family "Bacterial small subunit ribosomal RNA", at positions 28 to 507 of the family's 1533-position model. The record is from RNAcentral.